GUUGUAUAGUCAAGUAAUUAAGUGCAUGUGGUGGAUGCCUUGGCAGUCAGAGGCGAUGAAAGACGUGAUAGCCUGCGAAAAGCUCCGGGGAGGCGGCAAAUAUCCUUUGAUCCGGAGAUGUCUGAAUGGGGGAACCCACCUACUUUAAGGUAGGUAUUGCAACAUGAAUACAUAGUGUUGCAAGGCGAACGAGGGGAAGUGAAACAUCUCAGUACCCUUAGGAAAAGAAAUCAAUUGAGAUUCCCUCAGUAGCGGCGAGCGAACGGGGAUCAGCCCAUUAAGUUAUGUGUGUUUUAGUGGAACGCUCUGGGAAGUGCGAACGUAGAGGGUGAUAUUCCCGUACACGAAAGGGCACACAUAAUGAUGACGAGUAGGGCGAGGCACGUGAAACCUUGUCUGAAUAUGGGGGGACCAUCCUCCAAGGCUAAAUACUCCUGACUGACCGAUAGUGAACCAGUACCGUGAGGGAAAGGCGAAAAGAACCCCUGUGAGGGGAGUGAAAUAGAUCCUGAAACCGCAUGCAUACAAGCAGUGGGAGCACCUUCGUGGUGUGACUGCGUACCUUUUGUAUAAUGGGUCAGCGACUUAUAUUCAGUAGCGAGGUUAACCGUAUAGGGGAGCCGUAGAGAAAUCGAGUCUUAAUAGGGCGUUUAGUUGCUGGGUAUAGACCCGAAACCAGGCGAUCUAUCCAUGAGCAGGUUGAAGGUUGGGUAACACUAACUGGAGGACCGAACCCACUGUCGUUGAAAAGCCAGGGGAUGACUUGUGGAUAGGGGUGAAAGGCUAAUCAAGCCUGGUGAUAGCUGGUUCUCCCCGAAAGCUAUUUAGGUAGCGCCUCGGACGAAUACCAUAGGGGGUAGAGCACUGUUUCGGCUAGGGGGUCAUCCCGACUUACCAAACCGAUGCAAACUCCGAAUACCUAUGAGUACUAUCCGGGAGACAGACUGCGGGUGCUAACGUCCGUAGUCAAGAGGAAAACAAUCCAGACCGCCAGCUAAGGCCCCAAAAUCAUAGUUAAGUGGGAAACGAUGUGGGAAGGCAUAGACAGCUAGGAGGUUGGCUUANNNNNNNNNNNNNNNNNNGAAGCAGCCACCCUUUAAAGAAAGCGUAAUAGCUCACUAGUCGAGUCGGCCUGCGCGGAAGAUGUAACGGGGCUAAAACUAUGUGCCGAAGCUGCGGAUGUAUACUUUGUAUACGUGGUAGGGGAGCGUUCUGUAAGCCGAUGAAGGUGUGUUGAGAAGCAUGCUGGAGGUAUCAGAAGUGCGAAUGCUGACGUGAGUAACGACAAAACGGGUGAAAAACCCGUUCGCCGAAAGACCAAGGGUUCCAGUCCAACGUUAA
Molecule: ribosomal RNA, 1341 nt
Filed under: Acinetobacter baumannii
Lineage: Bacteria; Pseudomonadati; Pseudomonadota; Gammaproteobacteria; Moraxellales; Moraxellaceae
Description: bacterial LSU rRNA
Rfam family: Bacterial large subunit ribosomal RNA
Source: RNAcentral